Miniopterus natalensis is the source of this 377-nucleotide non-coding RNA. The record is from RefSeq and is a predicted model, not a curated record. Lineage: Eukaryota; Metazoa; Chordata; Mammalia; Chiroptera; Miniopteridae.
UGAUCAGCCUGCACUCCCCCUGCUGGGGAUCAAGCCUCCAUCCCCGGAACGGGUCCUGAACAGGAACCGAAUCCCAGUCACCUGGGAUCCUAGGUCAGCGCUCAACCACUGAGCCACGCCUGGCAGGGCUAAGUUAUUUCACUCUUGAAAGAAAAGAUUGGAAUGGAACGAGAAAACAGAGGUGAAGACUUUGAAGAUUUGAGUUUGGAAAAAAAAAUUGUUUAAAGGCAUUUACAUGGACCAACUUUACCCAGGACAAUUUCCAUUAUGAUAUAAGAACUUCCUGUGUGUUUCUACUUCCCAAAUGUCAACAUUGUUACAGGUAUAUUGCUGCAUAUUUAAAAUAUUAUUAAAGACAUUACUCUCUUUUCAACUCA